This is an RNA transcript of Papilio polytes (common Mormon), 2378 nucleotides long. It is a transcript of the gene named zinc finger protein 557-like, with no coding region annotated. NCBI's taxonomy places the organism in Eukaryota, Metazoa, Arthropoda, Insecta, Lepidoptera, Papilionidae. The record is from RefSeq and is a predicted model, not a curated record. The transcript is spliced from 19 exons.
GUUUUGUUUUCAAAAAUCAACAAAUUCUUAUAAUUUUCAUAUUGUGUUUAAAUUUAUAAAAUUCUGAUGUUCCAUAUUUAUAGUGGUUUUACUGAUAUACCUAAAUGUUUAUACAGUUUUUUGAACUUUAUGUUUGAGUUUGAGUUAUGUUUUAAGAAUUGUAAAAUGUUUCAAAAUACGUUUGAUUUAAUAUUUGGUAAAAUAAAGAAGUAAAUCUUUACAAUGGAGUCAAAACCUGAGGCUGCACAGAAUCUUCUCUGCAUGGCUUGUCUGUGUGUGGAAAAGGCGUUACACGAAUUAAAAUCACUUGAUAUUAUCAAGUAUUAUUUGAAUUGCAUUAGUGAAAUUUCUCUCAGUGUUACACCGAAGUCUAUAACAAUAUGUUGGGAAUGUGAAGCUAUGUUAAAGAGAGCUGUCACCUUUAGAGAACAAGUAAAGGACUCCUACAGGAUACUCCAGACUUAUACUAGUGAGAAUCUUGCAGAGCGUCUCUUAUCAGAUGUUUCCAGACCUCCUAGAUUAAAAAUGUUUGCCAAUGAGAAUAUUAACAUUGUACCAGAGAAUACUGAAUGGAUUAAAACAUGGAGAAAAAUUGAAUAUGUUAAAGAUGAAUUGAAAAUUGAAGAUGAUAAUUCAACAAGGAAUCACUUGGAAGAGGUAGAUGUUCUUAUAUCAGAUAAUUCUGAUAUAGAAGAAAACAGCAGACUUACUAAGAUAUCUAAUAUUAAGAAUAAUGAAAAGACUGAUAUAUAUGGAAUAAACGACAAAAAUACAAACAGACCUAAAGAAUUACAGAUUGUAUGUGUUAAAGAUGAAUUGAAAGUUGAAUUUGACAAAGAUUUAGAAGAAUAUUCAGACACAAAAGAUUGUUUGUCAGAUUGUUCUGAUUCAGAACUGGAAAGCGAAUUACAGAAGUUUAUAAGCGCGAAGAAGAAUAAAAAGAGUAAAAGAGAUAAAGGUAUUAAGAAGAGAAGAAAGUUGAAGCGUAAUUCUAAAAAGUUAUCAGAUGAGAAUGACAAAAAAAUUAUACCAAUAAAAUUGACGUAUGAAGAAAUGUUGUUAGAAAGAGAGAAAGGGAAAGAAAAGGAUGUGUUUAGAAAAGCCAAAUAUAAAUGUGAAAACUGCAUUAUUGGAUUUAAUAGUAAUAAAACAUAUAACACACAUAUAAUGAACAAACAUACAGCGGAAUUGGGUAAACAUAAAUGUCCAAUAUGUAGUACUAUAAUAUCUACGUUGGAUUCAUUUACAGAACAUUGUAAAAGACAUUUUAGAAGAUACGAGUGUGUGAUCUGUCAGAAGCGCACCAUAGACAAGAAGUCCAUAGAGCAACAUUAUUAUACAAAUCAUGAAAUGUCUUUGAAGGAAUAUCGAUGUGAAUUAUGCGGGAAAAUAUCUAAGUCAAUAGACAGCCACCGAUAUCAUACAGAUAGUCAUAAAUCCCGAGUGCAGUGCACAGACUGCGAGAAAACAUUCAGUCAUAGAGCAGGCCUCGUCAAUCAUAGACUGGCUGUACACGAAUUACAGAACACAUUUCCAUGUACAGUUUGUGAUAAAGUGUUCCGUUGGAAGACCAGUUUGAAACGACAUUUAGAAAAACAUGAUGCUAAGACGAAACCUACAAAUAAUGGGGCAGCAUUUUGUGUUACUUGUAGUAUAGAGUUUUCAUCGAUUUGUUCAUACAAAAGACAUUUAAGAAAUAGUUUGAAGCAUGUAACAAGAGAUCAACUCAAAUUUAUUUGCGACCAUUGCAAAAAACGUUUCGCCGACAAAACUAAACUAAGAGACCAUAUAGAAGAUAAGCAUUUACAUAAAGUAUAUAACUGUCAUAUAUGUAAUAAGGCGACAAAGAAUCGUGUUGGACUAGACCAACAUAUAAGAUAUGUACACCGAGACAGACCCAAUAAUAAAAUGUGUCAUUACUGCGGUAAAGGAUUUCCAACUAAAGUUCAAUUAGAAUCCCAUAUUCGUACGCAUACAGGGGAAAGACCUUUUAUAUGUGAAUAUUGUCCAACAACAUUCUCACAGAAAUCCAACUUGUAUAAACAUAAUAGACAGGUACAUUUGAAUAUAAAAACUAAAAGAUACAGUCUCUGUAAGAAGAGAAAAGAAGAUAAGAAAGAUUCUUCGACAGAAGAUAAAGUAAAUGACCAGAAAAGUUGUCCAGAAUUGUUUAUUUCUAAAGGGAAUAAUGAUCAAUUUAUUGCUAUAUUCUACUUCUGUGACGUGAUCCGUUGACUUUUUGGAGAAUCUACUCACCAAGCAGAGAAUUCAAAAUGGCGUGCACUGGAAUUGUCAAAAGCUUCUGUUGCGAUAUUAUCUAAAAAAUACUUCGCAAUUAGACAAAUAAAACGCUAACCGAAAAUUACAUAACUUUCCAG